AGACCCUUGUUGAGAGAUUUAUCAUGCUUCUAAGAUCAAGACACUAUUUCAGUAAGAUUCACUCUUCCGAAGUAUUAUUGCAUUAGAGGCAUGGGCUAUGCAAAAAUAGAAGAUAUUUCGAGGAAAUAAAAAGGAGCAAGUGCUCGACAACCUCGCAGAAAAAAUGGACAAGUGUCCGGCAGUAGAAUUAGGGGUACCUCGGUAUCCACUUAAAAAAAAUGAUAGCCCAUGGUCCCUCUAAUAAGCAAUAUGCCAGCAAGAGUUGAUAAAGUUUUUAAUUUCCAAAGUCUUUGAUCUAAGAGUAUGACAUUUCCCUCCUCGGAUCCCGU
RNAcentral lists this long non-coding RNA (329 nucleotides) under Sorghum bicolor (sorghum). Its description in RNAcentral is "long non-coding RNA (SBIC_LNC010137)". Lineage: Eukaryota; Viridiplantae; Streptophyta; Magnoliopsida; Poales; Poaceae. The record is from RNAcentral.